UACAGAGGUCUCAAGCGUUGUUCGGAUUCAUUGGGCGUAAAGGGUGCGUAGGCGGCGCGGUAAGUCGGGUGUGAAAUCUCGGAGCUUAACUCCGAAACUGCAUUCGAUACUGCCGUGCUUGAGGACUGGAGAGGAGACUGGAAUUUACGGUGUAGCGGUGAAAUGCGUAGAUAUCGUAAGGAACACCAGUGGCGAAAGCGGCUCUCUGGUCCAAAACUGACGCUGAGGGGCGAAAGCGUGGGGAGCGAACGGG
This 253-nucleotide ribosomal RNA is filed under the name uncultured bacterium. RNAcentral's name for it is "partial 16S ribosomal RNA". It matches the Rfam family "Bacterial small subunit ribosomal RNA", at positions 524 to 776 of the family's 1533-position model. The record is from RNAcentral.